AGAGUUUGAUCCUGGCUCAGGACGAACGCUGGCGGCGUGCCUAACACAUGCAAGUCGAGCGAAGUGCUUUGAGUGGAACCCUUCGGGGUGAAACUUAAAGCACUUAGCGGCGGACGGGUGAGUAACGCGUGAGGAACCUACCUCCCACAAGGGGAUAGCCUCGGGAAACCGGGAUUAAUACCCUAUGACACUUAGGUGUCGCAUGACGCCUAGGUUAAAGCGCUUUAGCGGUGGGAGAUGGCCUCACGUCCCAUUAGCUAGUUGGUGAGGUAACGGCUCACCAAGGCGACGAUGGGUAGCCGGCCUGAGAGGGUGACCGGCCACACUGGGACUGAGACACGGCCCAGACUCCUACGGGAGGCAGCAGUGGGGAAUAUUGCACAAUGGGCGAAAGCCUGAUGCAGCGACGCCGCGUGAGCGAAGAAGGCCUUCGGGUCGUAAAGCUCUGUCCUAUGGGACGAUAAUGACGGUACCAUAGGAGGAAGCCCCGGCUAACUACGUG
This 502-nucleotide ribosomal RNA is filed under the name uncultured Tepidimicrobium sp. Its description in RNAcentral is "bacterial SSU rRNA". It matches the Rfam family "Bacterial small subunit ribosomal RNA", at positions 8 to 507 of the family's 1533-position model. The record is from RNAcentral. Lineage: Bacteria; Bacillati; Bacillota; Tissierellia; Tissierellales; Tepidimicrobiaceae.